This is a long non-coding RNA of Dermacentor silvarum, 5061 nucleotides long. RefSeq lists it as uncharacterized. The transcript has 3 exons. The record is from RefSeq and is a predicted model, not a curated record. Lineage: Eukaryota; Metazoa; Arthropoda; Arachnida; Ixodida; Ixodidae.
GCUCUUUGUUCCCGGCUCAUUAGCAGCCUCUGGUACUCUCGCCGAUCUCGCAGCGGUUCACAGUGCACGGAAGAAUGUGUUGGAAAUUGUACUAUUACGUUCAUCCGCAAUUUAACAGUGUUUAUGCCGGAAGGACAGUUCGUGCAGUCGAUGCCGCCGGACCUGACACGAAGGAGCGUUUGCCGAGUAUGUCUCGAAAGGGAUGUCACGAUUUCGUGAGACGGAUGCAAUCUCUGCACCACAUGGGAGCCUGUGGCAAAAUGCAGUCUGAGCAGCCCGACAAGGAAUCUGAUCUGCUUGCUUUGACAAGGUGUGUACAAAACAGUCACUGCCACUUAUGAGUUCUAGGUUCUGUUGGUAUAAUUCGUACGUGCCAUCGGUCCUGAAUCUUUUGGUGAGAUUUACGAAUUUGGACUCGUUCUACAAUUUUACUAUUGUUGCAUUGAGUUAUGAGAAUGAAAUUCUAUUGGGAAUAUGUUGUAAGAAUCUUGAAAAAUGGGGUGGUAUGAGAUUGCAAAAUUGCAUCUAAAACAAUAAAUUGUGAUGGCACUUGUGCUGCUUUAUUAGCAAUGCAAAAUCCCUAACGAGUAUACCAGAGGGGCACUUCCUACCAAGCCCGAUUCAGAUCAAAAUUAGCUACUGCAAUUGGCUUCCUCGCGCAGCUUGCACAAAAGAGCCAAUCACAAGUGAGAAAUUCGAUCCGGAUUGGGCUUGAUCGCAAUGAAAAGUGCACUGUAUGACACCCGUAUUAGACGAGCUUAUUGAGAUAAGUUCGUAAAGCCGGCUAAAUCGGCAACAGCAAAAGCACUGAAAAAAGCACACUGGUCUAAAAACAAUGUUGUCAGUUUCUGCUGUUCCAAGUUAAUGGUUAAUAAUGUGUCUCUAUUGAACAAUGUAGGCGCUGAGAGAAAACUUUAAGAAAAUACAUGCUGACUUUCCAACACAGCAUUGUGUCUAGGAUUUUUGCAAAACAUAAAGUUCACAGGCUGGCAGGUUUGGCAUAACGUACAACACUUUUGCUUUAGAUGCCAUAUUCAUAACUUCCAGUUUCGACAUAAUAUUCGAGUACUACUUGAACUGUAUAUUUUAAAAUAUCGCCUACCUUCAGUUUAAUCAAUAUACCUAAGUAGCCUCCUCUGAGUCAAGUAUAAUUGGGGGCUUGAGUAGAUAUGCAUGAUAUGCUACUUACUGACUGUAUAGUGACGUAUUUUUUUAGGAACUGUGUUUUGAGGCACACAUAUCCUUUUAUGUCUUGUUAUGAGUUGCCCGACGAAAGCAGAAGGGCAUUGCAAGUUAUUGCAUAUAUUACUGCACUUAAUUCCUUACAUACAUGCCUGCACAGAUUCUGUGUUCCUAGAUUUAUUUCUCUAAGUAGUCAAAAAUCAUGUAUUACACUUUUUUUCUCUUUUUUUUGGGGGGGGGGGGCUGUUCAUUGAUUCCCAUUCCUAAAGGGACGUUGAAAGAAAAAACCACGAAAGGUGGCUUGAAAGUGUUUGAAUUUUCUGUUUAACCUCUUAUUAUUUAUUCUUCUAAAGCACUACCAGCAUGAACACGUUUCUGUUCACUUUUAUAAGCUAGCUGCCAGAUAAGAAACCACAGUGUGAAAGAGUAUUUAUUUCUUUUUUUUACUUGUUUUAUUGUAUGUUCUUUAUUUAGCUCACAAUGUUCUACCUACCACCUUAUGCAGUACUCCAGCUGGAGCCUAUGAGGUAUGUUUAUAAAUGAAUAAGUAAAUUCCUGAAGCUUGCAACAAACCAUGAAGCAUAACAUUUAAAUGUAGUCAGUUCAUAAUACAUCCCUAGAGCAGCAUAGCAUCAAGCUUGAAGCUGAUCUCUGAUGUCCCAUAAAUUGCAGGUUUGAUAAUGUGGUAUCACAAACUGCUGGUUACGCAUGUCAGUCAGCCUGGUGCAGUGGUCGCAGGUGAGAGUGUAACCGAAAGCUGGGUAUGCUUUGCCCUUCCGCAUUUGACAUGGGAGGGAGCUUGAACUCUGCUAUUGCUUCUCUUAUAGUUGGGACCAUCUCUCUCACCUUCUCCUUAUUAUUCUGUCAACUUGCUAAUAUGCACUUCUACAAGCUUAGUUAUGAUGUUGACUGCUGAACUUGGAUGAUGUGCGUUUCAAUAGUUAGUGGGACCCUCAAAACCAUGCUGUACUUUGUGUGCAUUUCAAAUGGUCAAUUUGAAAUAUGCGAUUGUCUGACAUUCUCAGGGAAACAAGGUUUUUGUUCUGAAUAAGGCAUAGGCUGCUUCCCGAAAGAGUACCAGAAACAAUACUUUCUCACCUAACAAAAGUGUUUAGGCACGCCGUGCUCAGGCCAUGCUGACCUACAAUAAUUAGAUCAUAAUGUGCUAUAUCGACCGUUACAUGUUAUUAAAAGUGGCAGACAAAAGUCAUAAUGCACUUGAAUUUCACUGUUAAAAUGUGUGUGGCUACCUAACAUUUAGCCUUAGCCCCUUUGGCGCAGACACCAUUAGUGCAAAAGGGGCGUAUGUCAUUACCAAGCUUUUGGGAUAAGUACAGACUGAAUAAGCACUUGUCAAGAUUUUGAGUAGUACUAUAACCUGAGACCCGCCCAAAGUGUGAUUUUAUUUUUAUUUUUUCAUUUAGACCAUGGAGUCACACUUCUCUUAAGCCUGUGCAGAUACGUCACGCUAGGCGAGCCCCAUUCAUUUCUCCCUUUACAGUGAAUCCUGUUUUUCAGUUUCAUGUUGCAUGACAUACAAAGGCACUUUAAGCAAGGCCAAAAAUAAGUGGUUUGAAUGUGUACAAAAUGACUCCGGACACAUUUUUUUGUUUGGAGACAGUUUAGACGCAUCAUGUAUUCUUUCUUUUUGUGUUAGUUUUGUGAUGAGAGGUUAUUUAUUGCAAAAAGAAAAUGAAGGUUAAAGUGGCAUUUCCUGCCAAAUUUUGUGGCGAAACAUCGUACGUUGGAGGACAUCAUGCAUUCCAGAGUAUUUUCGUAUAUUUUGGCUGUUGCGGUUCAGUACACUUGCUCCAAAAUUGCUAAGUUCAGUUCUUGCCUCUUUUAGAAUGCAAUAUAGUCAAUUUUUGCCAAAAACAAAUUAACUAGGCCUUAGCAGACAGCCAGCAGGUGUGGGAACUUUAUUGUGGUUUCACCACCUGUAUAUCGUUCUUGUGUAUUUUCUAGCUUAUCAAGCCUCUACUUUUGGAUAACUGCAGUCUUUCUGGGUUUGCGGAAGAGUAAUUCAAUAAUGCAUCUCAAAUAAUUAUUUUUCCCUUAAGUGUCCCUUUAAAGUUUUGUCUGAUUGAUGUGGCAUGAGACAACACUGCCCGAAAGUUAUCUUGCAUGUCAGCAGUUGUGUUGCCAUGUAAUCACCAGUAUUGUCUUUGAGGUGCUCAGAGAUGUCACUGCACUUACUCUUCAUUACCCAAGUCCCUAAGAAGCCAUAAAGAGGAUCUGUUUGAAAUGUCCUGCAAUAAGUUAUAUCAUACUGUAUUCACUGGGGCUCUGUUAAAUGCUUGCAGUAGAAAAGCACUGUCUUCUCCAAAACAUGCAUAGUGUGUUGGGAAUUUGUCAACGAUUCUUUUUACCUCAACAGUCAUGGAAAUAUUGAUUUACCGUGUUCACUGGCAGAUUUAUAUCAAGCCUGAUCUCUGUAGCUGACUAGGCUUUUUUAUUACACAAAAAUUAAGCUGGUUUUCAAUAAUACCACCUUUUCACAGUACUGAAGCACCAGUUUGCAAAAAUAAUAGAAUAAGUUUAACUCUAUUUUUUGUAAAAGCAAGCUGUUGUCUUACACAGCAACUUCAGUGAGUUUUUUAAGCGCGGCAGGCUUAGGAUGUUGGUUGAAAAUUAAGUUGCUUAAAGACGUGUUGCAUCAGAGAGCAUGUUUUCUUUUAUCUAUUGUAGCAUUAUCUGGUCUCUUAUGUUCCUUUCCAUGCUAUUCACAGUGCACACUUUCUAAGGAGAUAAGGGACAGGCAGAUGGUGGCAUUCACAGCUCACACAUUCCAAGGCACUAAGGGACACACAGAGUGUGAAAGAGGACAGUUAUUUUUCACUGUCUGCCUGUCGCUUAUUCUUUUGGCAUGUGUGUGCCAUGAACACCAUCAAAAUGAACUGUUACCAACUUGCCCAAGCUUCAGCUCUUGCGCUUGGUGUUUUUGUCUACAAAAUGCCCAUAUGGCAGUAGUAGUGUUGCUGAUAUUUGCGUGUAUGAAAAGGGGAUGCUUACUUGAUUGCAGAACAAUUUGAUUGGUUCUACACAUGGUACUGAACUUACCAAUGUCAUUUUAAAGGUGGGAUUAGGUAGGAAGCUAUUGUGGUACUGUUUAAAGUGCCCUUGUGCAGAUGCUUAAAGCUUGUCUUCUGUUGACAAAAAUUGGGCUCAAGCCGUAGGAGGAUAGUUGUCAAAGUGUAAUGAAAGCCUCCUGGUAGACAUGCUGAGUUAUGCUGCUGGGGACACUUAUUGGUUAGCCCUAUUGGGUAAUGCUGCUAGGCUUAUGGGUGCUUUAACAUUGCAGUGCCUGCAGAAUGCAUGUCGUGCUAUGGUAUCAUAAUUGGCCCACCAAGUGACCACCUUUGCUUACACUAUGUGGCUGUCUGGCCUACUUUACUUAACCUGACUGCCACCUAUACACAAGGAGGAGGAGGGAGGCAAAAAAGGGAUCUUCAAUUAAUUUUCUUGCAUAGAUGGCUCAUGCAUCAUAUUUUUCUUAUAGUGCAGGAUUUGUUACUCAAAGUGAAGCUUGCUAUAUGGAGAAUAUCUACAUUUUUUCAUAUGUAUACCGAACAAGGAUUGAUUUGUUCACGGUGUCACUUUUUAUAUUAUACUCACGUGACACUAAGCCCACUUGUAUUAAUGCAGGUAUGGCUGGGCCUGCAGAGAAAGUGUAAGCAGACUGUGCUGUGUUGCUGAUCAGUGCUGAUCUCCACGCCUGAGUUGGUCCCACAACAUCCAGGCACCAGCGUGCUUUGCUUCAUCAUUGACAAGGUGCGCGGCAAGCUCUCACUCAAGCAACACAUUCCAGUGGUCUUCUGUCAACAGACUGGGUGUAUUGAAGUACCAUUACAAGGUCCAAUAAACAACGCUUGCGAGAUG